UUUUUUUUUUUUUUUUUUUUUUUUUUUUUAACAGCUUUAUUGGACAUACAUAUAAAAGGUUACAUAUUAUUAUACAAACAAAGACUACAGGGUAUACGUCCAAUGGGGCUAGCGCAAACGGGACAACGAGACCCAUGCAGGGCGCCACCCCUAAACUAAACUAGUGAAAACAAACUUAUUUACUAUACAGAAUAUAUACAUAUAUAACUUAGGACUUAAGUACGGUGACAAGGGCAGUCUCUUAUGAGCGACCAAGUACAUGUCAUAUCUACAUUAAAAGUACUGUUCACCAAGGCGGUGAAUAAUAUGUGAAUAAUAUGUGAAUAAUAUGUGCCGUGAAUGACUUUUAAAGUUUGAAAAAUAACAAUUUAUCCUGGAAUAUAGCUG
Molecule: non-coding RNA, 387 nt
Organism: Paramuricea clavata
Lineage: Eukaryota; Metazoa; Cnidaria; Anthozoa; Malacalcyonacea; Plexauridae
Source: the annotation of a GenBank genome assembly